Molecule: ribosomal RNA, 485 nt
Filed under: uncultured bacterium
Lineage: Bacteria
Description: partial 16S ribosomal RNA
Rfam family: Bacterial small subunit ribosomal RNA
Source: RNAcentral
GAUGAACGCUGGCGGCGUGCUUAACACAUGCAAGUCGAACGGGAUCCAAGGGGUGCUUGCACUUGUUGGUGAGAGUGGCGAACGGGUGAUUAACACGUGAGUAACCUGUCCUUUUCUUUGGGAUAAGCAUUCGAAAGGGUGUUUAAUACCUUAUGUUCUGUCUGCCUCGCAUGGGGUGGGUGGGAAAGGCUUUGGCCGGAUUUGGGUGGGCUCGCGGUCUAUCAGCUUGUUGGUGGGGUGAUGGCUUACCAAGGCUUUGACGGGUAGCCGGCCUGAGAGGGUGGUCGGUAACAUGGGGCCUGAGAUACGGCCAAGACUCCUGCGGGAGGCAGCAGUGGGGGAUAUUGCACAAUGGGCGAAAGCCUGAUGCAGCGACGCCGAGUGGGGGAUGAAGGCCUUCGGGUUGUAAACUUCUUUUGCUCUGAACAAGGCAUGCCAGUGGGUGUGUUGAGUGUAGGGGUUGAUUAGCGACGGCUAACUACGUG